UGCAAAUGCAAAGUAAAUAUAUAAUCAAUCAAAUCAUAUACAAAGUAUUUUAGUCUCAAGGCAUCAACCUCGUCUAGUUUCACGGCUAGACAAAAGCCUCAUUGACGAGUUUUUAACCUCUUGUCGUUUAUGUCUCUAUGCAGCAUUAUUAAUCUAUCUAGUGUUUCCUUCUACAUUGUGUUGUGACAUGAAAUCUAUGAAAACUAAUUG
Molecule: unclassified non-coding RNA, 210 nt
Filed under: Hevea brasiliensis (rubber tree)
Lineage: Eukaryota; Viridiplantae; Streptophyta; Magnoliopsida; Malpighiales; Euphorbiaceae
Source: RNAcentral